RNAcentral lists this ribosomal RNA (393 nucleotides) under uncultured bacterium. RNAcentral describes it as "partial 16S ribosomal RNA". It matches the Rfam family "Bacterial small subunit ribosomal RNA", at positions 523 to 919 of the family's 1533-position model. The record is from RNAcentral.
AUACGGAGGAUCCGAGCGUUAUCCGGAUUUAUUGGGUUUAAAGGGUGCGCAGGCGGCCAUUUAAGUCAGCGGUUAAAUCGUGGGGCUCAACCCCAUUCUGCCGUUGAUACUGGGUGGCUUGAUUGCGGUCGAGGUUGGCGGAAUUCGUUGUGUAGCGGUGAAAUGCAUAGAUAUGACGAAGAACACCGAUUGCGUAGGCAGCUGACCAGACCGCAAAUGACGCUCAUGCACGAAAGUGCGGGGAUCGAACAGGAUUAGAUACCCUGGUAGUCCGCACAGUAAACGAUGAAUACUUGUUUUCGGCGAUAUAAUGUCGGAGGCAAAGCGAAAGCGAUAAGUAUUCCACCGGGGGAGUACGCCGGCAACGGUGAAACUCAAAUGAAUUGACGGGGG